UUAUUGAGGCCAGGGCUUCUGGGAAGUCUCCCCAGCCUCAGCUGCUGAGUAACAAGGAGAAAGCUGAGGCCAGGAAGCUCUGGGAGUACAAGAACUCCGUCAUCUCUCAGGUGACCACCCAUUUCACAGAGGACUUCUCACUGAAUUCUGCAAUUUCUCAGCUGAUGGGACUCAGCAAUGCCCUCUCGCAAGCCUCUCAGAGCGUCAUUCUCCACAGCCCCGAGUUUGAGGAUGCUUUGUGUGCCCUGAUGGUAAUGGCUGCUCCACUGGCCCCUCAUGUAACCUCAGAGAUCUGGGCAGAUCAACAAUAAAGCUUGUGGCAAAAUUCCUGUGCCCCAACAAGUUGCCCGGGACCAGGACAAAGUCCACGAAUUUGUUCUUCAAAGCGAGCUGGGUGUCAGGCUUUUGCAAGGACGAAGCAUCAAGAAGUCCUUCCUUUCCCCGAGAACUGCCCUCAUCAACUUCCUGGUGCAAGAUUGACAGCCAGGAGGCUGCAGCUACCACGAGGGCCUCUGAGGAACCUCCUUCCAGGCCUGGGAUGAGGGGGCGAUGUCUGCUGGCCCAGGGGAAGGGAAAAGACAAAUGUCUUGACUGUUGACCUCGGUCCUGUGGCAGACUGCAGUCAACAGUGUGCCUCUGUAGUGUGGCCUGGUGCUGGGGUGAAGGUGAGCUGGGCAAAGGAGAAAUAUGAGCUACUGAGGAGGGGGUUGGACAUCCUGCCCCUCACCCCCCACCCACACUGCAGGUAGAGGAGGCCAUCUGAUCCCAUGGGAAGCCAUCAGAGACACUGCUGGUGGGAGCAGGAAGGAGCAGUGCCCCUCGAGCAGCCAGGAAGCCUGCGGAUCUGGGAAAUGGCUCUGCCUUAGGCACUUCUCGGGAAUUUGAGGCCAGCCUGAGGAACUGCAGGACUCAGGUGCAAUGUGCCAGCCACUUGGAACUGCUAACUGAGCCUCCAGAUGGUAGUGAAUGGUCUCUUUGCCUUCAGGCUGGAUGAGGAAGUCAUUUAGGAAAUGUUCAAAUAACCAAUAUGUGGAAAUGGACACAGGGAUCUUCUGAAGUUGCUUUGAAUCAAAAGGCAGGCAGUGCUGGUUCCUCUGCCUGUGUCCCCACCACUCCCCAGCUCUGUCAUGCAGGCCUGUCCUCCCCAACCCCAGCUGGAUGUGCCUCCCAGGCCUGCUGUGGUUCUGACACACAGGAUCCCAGGCAAGGCACCACUUCCUCACAUGAAUGAGGAGCAGCAAGUCAUAACCACUCCCUUGGGUAUACAAUUUGCUGUGUAGUGAAGUGGAACCAGGCUCAGGCUGCUGGUCCCAACCUCAGAGCCCCACCGCAGCCCAGUAGGGAUGCAGCACGCCCCAGAGGGCUCAUGUGGGCCCCAGAUGGCAAUGCCACCAUUGUUGAUGUGACUCCAGAGCCAGUUAUUAGGAAGAGCAAGCUCACCACAGAGGAGUGGAACUGAGGCCCCCCAGAUGUUGCCUCCGGUGUCCAAGCCACAGCGGUCUGGCUGUUGGGAAGAUGGCCAGGAAUGGACUCAUACCAUUGGCACAUUAGGCUAAUCCUGGUUUUAUGUGAAGUCAGCAAUUAAGUGUUCCCACUAGAACUGACCUAAGCCACUGAUUAAUAUUUAAUGAGGGAAGGUAGGGGAGAAUCUAGCCAUUUUAUAAUGCCAGAAAUCUAUAUAUGUUAUCUGAUGCCAUUUUUCUGAAGUAGCCUCACAUGUGGUCCCCCUGCAGUUCAGCAGUUAACAGAUGACUUUUUUAGUGUAAUAAAAUGUUUAUCAUCUAUGA
RNAcentral lists this long non-coding RNA (1787 nucleotides) under Homo sapiens (human). Its description in RNAcentral is "HSALNT0053883". Lineage: Eukaryota; Metazoa; Chordata; Mammalia; Primates; Hominidae. The record is from RNAcentral.